CCUACGGGAGGCAGCAGUAAGGAAUAUUGGUCAAUGGACGAAAGUCUGAACCAGCCAUGCCGCGUGAAGGAUGACGGCCCUCUGGGUUGUAAACUUCUUUUAUCUGGGACGAAAAAAGGGAAUUCUUUCUCACUUGACGGUACCAGAGGAAUAAGCACCGGCUAACUCCGUGCCAGCAGCCGCGGUAAUACGGAGGGUGCAAGCGUUAUCCGGAUUCACUGGGUUUAAAGGGAGCGUAGGUGGGCAGGUAAGUCAGUGGUGAAAUCUCCGGGCUUAACCCGGAAACUGCCAUUGAUACUAUUUGUCUUGAAUUAUCUGGAGGUAAGCGGAAUAUGUCAUGUAGCGGUGAAAUGCUUAGAUAUGACAUAGAACACCCAUUGCGAAGGCAGCUUACUACGGAUAUAUUGACACUGAGGCUCGAAAGCGUGGGGAUCAAACAGGAUUAGAUACCCUGGUAGUCCACGCCCUAAACGAUGGAUACUCGACAUCAGCGAUACACUGUUGGUGUCUGAGCGAAAGCAUUAAGUAUCCCACCUGGGAAGUACGACCGCAAGGUUGAAACUCAAAGAGUAGUAGCGUGNGAGAGCGACGACGACGACGACGGAGGAGGAGG
This 613-nucleotide ribosomal RNA is filed under the name uncultured bacterium. RNAcentral describes it as "bacterial SSU rRNA". It matches the Rfam family "Bacterial small subunit ribosomal RNA", at positions 338 to 956 of the family's 1533-position model. The record is from RNAcentral.